RNAcentral lists this ribosomal RNA (427 nucleotides) under uncultured bacterium. Its description in RNAcentral is "bacterial SSU rRNA". It matches the Rfam family "Bacterial small subunit ribosomal RNA", at positions 355 to 774 of the family's 1533-position model. The record is from RNAcentral.
UAGGGAAUAUUGGACAAUGGGGGCAACCCUGAUCCAGCCAUGCCGCGUGAGUGAAGAAGGCCCUCGGGUUGUAAAGCUCUUUUGUCCGGAAAGAAAAGCAUUCGGUGAAUACCCGGAUGUUCUGACGGUACCGGAAGAAUAAGCACCGGCUAACUUCGUGCCAGCAGCCGCGGUAAUACGAAGGGUGCAAGCGUUACUCGGAAUUACUGGGCGUAAAGCGUGCGUAGGUGGUUGUUUAAGUCUGAUGUGAAAGCCCUGGGCUCAACCUGGGAAUGGCAUUGGAAACUGGGCAGCUAGAGUGCGGUAGAGGGUAGUGGAAUUCCCGGUGUAGCAGUGAAAUGCGUAGAUAUCCGGAGGAACACCAGUGGCGAAAGCGGCUUCCUGGACUGUAACUGACGCUCAGACGCGAAAGCUAGGGUAGCAAACG